Long non-coding RNA from Salvia splendens (bonfire salvia), 1169 nucleotides. RefSeq lists it as uncharacterized. The transcript has 4 exons. Lineage: Eukaryota; Viridiplantae; Streptophyta; Magnoliopsida; Lamiales; Lamiaceae. The record is from RefSeq and is a predicted model, not a curated record.
GUACACUGGUGGGAUCGUGAGCCGUCCUUGCUAGUCGGCCGGUCUCGUGGGCGAAUAGUGUGGCCACACUUUCGUCGCACUGUGAUAUGAUGAUUGAGGAUUGAUGGAUUGAUGAGAAGAGUGGGGAGAUAAACUGCCUGGCCAGACUUGAAAUAUUUUUGUGUUCUCGUGAUAUUUUCUUAACUACUUAUAAAACUCGAGAUCACUGGUUGAGCGGGAUGUUGCGGUGGAUGUUGAGUUGGCCUAGGAACUUUGGAUGCGUUGUGUCUUCAUACAUAGGCGUCAUCCUUGACUCUCUUUAAACCUUAAUUCCGCUGCUAUAUUUUGAACUAUGCCACAAGACUUUAUUCUAUUUCGUAUUGUGUUUGAGCAUGUUUAACUGUGUUAGGCUUAAACCUUGUGUUUAUCUUGUUACUCUAAAAUGGAUUUUCCGUGAACUCAACCAAAUGUUUUCUUUUAGAAGUUUAUUGGGUUUUAAUACUCUUUUUCUCCGCCGCUUCUUUUGAAAGAUAUUUAUCAUAAGUCGUCUCUAAUUAAUAGUAAAGUUAUAACCUUAAAUUUCUUUAAGCUAAAACUUUUUUUCUCCUCUAAACUAAUUGAGUUUUCUCUUAAAGUGUUAUCCUUGUAUGUUGUCGUGAUUGUCGUCCCUUGGUCACGAUCGUCGCGUUUGUAGUACCCCUAGUAUGGGCGGUCGUGACACUCUCUCUCUCACUCCAAACGUCUAUCCCUCUCUCCAGGUCUCUGCAAUUCGUCUUCCCAUUUUCCACCACUCUUCAAACCCUAGCCGCCACUGUUUUUUGUCGGGUAUCUCCAGAAAGUGAUCGUUUUCGUCGGUUUCACUCUCCAACUCGCACCCCGGUAGCGCGUGAACAAAUUGUUGAAGGCGUCGACAAGGAAUCCCACCGGAUCAGAAGCGAUUGAUUUUCGUCGGAAAGCAGCGUGAAGAUGGCCUAACAAUUGCUGAUUACAACAUACAGAAAGCAGCGAAGCAGCUGAGAUUCAGGAACAAUGAAGUGAAAAAAAGUCCCAGAUAAAUACUGUGAAAGCAGAUGGACGUAGAUGAAUCUGUACAUUGUUAAACUAGUAGUAUACAUUAUGUAUCAAAUAUUAUGCAUUAUUUGACCGUUGUGUACAUAGGUGAAUGGGUGAAAGUCAUAUUUCUUUGUGCA